Molecule: ribosomal RNA, 445 nt
Filed under: uncultured bacterium
Lineage: Bacteria
Description: bacterial SSU rRNA
Rfam family: Bacterial small subunit ribosomal RNA
Source: RNAcentral
CCAGACUCCUACGGGAGGCAGCAGUGGGGAAUAUUGCACAAUGGGGGAAACCCUGAUGCAGCGACGCCGCGUGAGUGAAGGAGUAUUUCGGUAUGUAAAGCUCUAUCAGCAGGGAAGAAAAUGACGGUACCUGACUAAGAAGCUCCGGCUAAAUACGUGCCAGCAGCCGCGGUAAUACGUAUGGAGCAAGCGUUAUCCGGAUUUACUGGGUGUAAAGGGAGCGCAGGCGGCGCGCCAAGUCUGGUGUGAAACCCCGGGGCUCAACCCCGGGACUGCAUUGGAAACUGGCGGGCUGGAGUGUCGGAGGGGCAGGCGGAAUUCCUGGUGUAGCGGUGAAAUGCGUAGAUAUCAGGAGGAACACCGGUGGCGAAGGCGGCCUGCUGGACGACAACUGACGCUGAGGCUCGAAAGCGUGGGGAGCAAACAGGAUUAGAUACCCCAGUAA